GGCGCCAGCAAAAUACGAAGUCCGCCCCAUAUGAUUUUUGUUUACAUACAGAUUGUAUUUGAGGGGACUUGUAUUCCCUCCGUUUCUCUCCCAUUCCUUUUCUUUUCUCUCCUAUUCUUCUCUCCCACCCAAUGCGUUAGGGUUUUGGGGAGGUCAUGCGGGGAAAGAGAAGGGGACGAUGUUGGCUCUGGAAGCGGCGGAGUGGCGGAUCAGCCGUGCGGAGAGGAAAACUAAACUCCAAGCGUUUAAUCGCUGAAGAAGAAUCCCACCAUGAUGGUUUCCAUGUAGUUUUCAAUCUGAAUCCCAAAGAAUAAGAUCGAUCCGUCGAGAUCCGCUGCUCGAGCGGCGCCUCCUUCUUCUUUCUCCCGAUCCAUCACAAUUCUCUCCUACCAAAGAAAAAUUGAGAAAUUCUUUGUGCACCGCCUGCGGUCCGGCAAAGAUGACAUGGAGCGCACUGUUAGGGUUUUGUGGAGGUCAUGGGGGAAAGAGAAGGGAACGGUGUUGGCUCUGGAGCGGCGGAUCCAAGCGUUUAAUUGCUGAAGAAGAAUGACGCCAUGAUGGUUUCCAUGUGGUUUUCAAUCUGAAUCCCAAAGAAUAAGAUCCGCUGCUCGAGCCGCGCCACCUUGUUCUUUCUCCCGAUCCAUCCCAAUCCCACCCUGCCUUGUGAUGGGAUCUGAAGGCCCCUUCUCUCCUACCAAAAUCAAUCCUUUUCAGUCGUCUGAGGAUUGCGUUGUAGGCAAACUAUGAAGCCGGUCCCAUAUGAUAUUUAAUAGUGCGCGCCCCAUAUGAUUUUUGUUCGAGGCCAUGGAGGGAAGAGAAGGGAACGGUGUUGGCUCUGGAAGCAGCGGAGUGGCGGAUCGGCCAUGUGGAGACGAAAACUAAACUCCAAGCGUUUAAUCGCUGAAGAAGAAUCCCACCAUGAUGGUUUCCAUGUAGUUUUCAAUCUGAAUCCCAGAGAAUAAGAUCCGCCCAGAUCCGCUGCUCGAGCUGCGCCUCCGUCCUUCCGAUCCAUCCCAAUCCCACCCGGCCUUGUGAUGGGAUCUGAAGGCCCCUUCUCUCCUACCAAAAUCAAUCCUUUCCUCUUCCUUUCCUCUUUUGCUCCCGUGUUUUUUUUUUUUAAAUAAUUUUCUGAUUAUAUUUGGUUGUUUUCAAGUUUCGAAUUUGAGAUCGUUUAUCGAGUUUGCUAAGCUGAAACCCUACUUUUUUUAAAAAAAUUUUUAUAUAUACUUUCGACGUUUUGAAAUCGGGAAUAUUUCCUGUUGGAUCAACCACUACGAUUCGAAGCCCUAACUUUUUCUUUCGAUUUUUUUUUUUAGUACUAUUUUUUACUGUUGGAAUUGAGGUAUGUGCAUAUGACGGCUUUUGCCACCCAAUUUUUUUUUAGAUCGAAUUAAGAACAUGUUGUUUCUGCCUACCAAUCUUUUUGGUUUGCUUAAUGAGAUUUGUCUAUUGCAGAUUGCUGUGAUUGUAUUUUAUAUUAUUAUUUUUUCCCCCCUUAUCGGCGGAUAAUGACAGAGUUGGGUUCUACAAGUAGACUGUAUGUUUAGAAUGACAUUUCGAUUAAAAAUUGUAGUUACAAAUGUAUGUUUGGCCCCCUUUUUUUUUUAAUUUAAUUUUCAGGGCACAGAUGUUAGGUUAUGUUCUGAUUGGCAGACGCGUCUUUCAGUUCAUGUAAACUGGGCUACAACCUACGGCUCAAUGGUUGCAUACAUCUUAUGGGUUCCGCGUUGGAACCCUGAGAGUUGUUCGAACCGUUCAUUCUUCAACCAUUUUUAUGAAUUGAUCUGGGGGCAGAGGGGUUCUGAAGAUCUUUCAGUACCUCGUUUUGAAGAACAUGUUUGGUCCAACCCUAGAUUUUUUUUCAUCUGUUUGGUUUGUGAAAAACUAAAUUUCUGGUUGGUGGUCAACUUUGAUUUAGUUUCCGGUCUGUCAGUUCUUAUUUCCACUGUGCAUCUAUUUAUUUUUUUUAAUAUCUACUUUAUACUUGCAAGCAGAGGUCACUAGGCUUUGGCGUGUUUGAGUCACCAGAAUUAAUUUUUGCUUUCUUCUCGUUGUAGCAUGUUAUGCUUUAAUUUUUUUUAAUUUCCAUCUCAAGAUAAUAGAGUGGCUAUAUUUAUGCAUGCAUUAUCCAACUAACAAAGCAUCAAUUUAUGAAUCUGAAAUUGUAAUAAUGUUUUGAUUUUGGGGUUGUUUUGAAUGGUGUCGUACUUAAAACUAAGCAAAUGGAAUAGGUUGUAUAUAUUGUUAUCAUAAGAAAGAGUACUUCAUUAUUUUGUGAAAAGGGUUGGUUAGCUGGUUUUUAGUCCCUUUUAAUGGUACAACGGACUAAUCUUAGUAUUGACUCUUUUUGAAAUUGUUUUGUUGUUUUGAUCAUUAAACAUACAUGGAUAAUCAUUUUUAGAUUUUUGUAACAUUCAUGGAAGACAUGAUCUGAGAGCAGGUCUCAGAAUAUUGGGGAUUUUCAGACAUUAAUUUGAGUUUUAGUGAGCUUUUACGUCUAAGGUAAUUUUCAGAAUUAAAUUGUAUUUGCUGUUAUAGUGGCAGUGUAAGAAUCUUUAUUUGCACAUCAUAGUUUGAGUCACCUGCUGUCACAGCCUGAUUCCAAUUUACUGUGGCAUGUCUACUUCAUUUUUUACUUUGAAGGGUUGUGAUUUGUAAAUUUGAUCUUUCCUUUUCAUAUCUUUCAAUAGUUUGGAUUUUUAAUAUCUGUAAAGUUACCAACUCAGUCCGCUUAGACCUGGAUAUCAAAUGUAAAUUUGUCAUGUUAUUGGGGAAUGUUGCUUCAUUUUCAAUUGUUGUAAUUGAUUUCAAUGGUUCUGAUUUUUUAUACCUGACUUUGCAUGCCAAUUUGCUCCAAGUCAUAGUAAGCUCUUUUUUCAGUUUAGUAUGUGAACAGACAUGGUUGUAUUUAGGACAGAAGUCGGUUUGACUCCAAGUGUUCUAAUGGCCAGUCUCUGUUUACUUAAUUGAAGUAACUUAUCAUCAUUUUGGUUGUAUGACUCCAUCAAUGUUUUGCCCAACACAAGUUUUAUCUAAAGAUUUGUUCAAGGUGCACGUGAUAUUUAAUGAUCACCUAAGUUAUCAUUUGUUUUGAUGGUGUACAUAGUACUCAGGUGUUUGAAAAAUUAUUUUCUAUACUUCUGUACAAUAAGCCGAAGAUUGUCCUUAUUGGUUCUAUGCAAGUUUUGCUGUUUUUGAACCGGAGCCUUUAGCAGAACAUAUUAAAUAGCUGAUCUGAUGGUAUUCCUCUAUUAGUUAAAGGUAUUGAAGGAAUUACUUCGACGGUUAAAAAAAAAUAGCUUGCAGACAUAUGAGGAUAAUGUUUUUCUUUUACUGUUGCUUCUCUUGUUUGCAGUUGCCCGAUUUUGAUCUUCUCGUCUCUAUGAAAGUGGACUGAGUGAAAUACAUUAUCAAGCCUUUAUGCACGUCUCUAAACCGGCUGUUUUACAGCUGGAGUUUCUGCAUUGCUACAGAUGGCUUUUUCUUUUUUUAAGCAAAAAAAAAAAGCAUCCUAUUCUAUUAGAAAAAGAAAAUUCAGUGGUAUUGCUAGUGUUUGGCAUACAGGUAAUGUUGCAAUAAAAGUACUAGAAAUUUGAUUGACAUGUUUGGUAUGAUAAUCAUAUUAUCGGUAAUGUGAAAUCAAAUUCCCAAAAUACCUCCAAUAAUUUUGCCCCGUUGCUCUUCUUUUUCACUGAUGAGAAGUAACGGGAGUGAUGUGAGUGUGGUGGUGACUCGGAGAAGUGGUAGGCCGAGGGGUGUUCGGAAUCGCGGGCACUGGGUGGGGGGGGUGGGAGGCGGCGGGCGCAUAUGGAGCCGUGGGGGGUGGUGGAGACGGGCGUGGAGGAGCCGUGAGGUGGUGGUGGAGGACAAGGGCAGAGAAGCCACGGGUAGGCAAAGGGAGAUGGAGGAGCUGCGGGCUGGGAGUGCACAUGUAAGGGAGAGGGUUGGGUUAUGGGUUUUGUGUGNNNNNNNNNNNNNNNNNNNNNNNNNNNNNNNNNAGAUGGAGGAGCUGCGGGCUGGGAGUGCACAUGUAAGGGAGAGGGUUGGGUUAUGGGUUUUGUGUGAUUUUUUUUUUAGAGAGAAUUUUGUCCAAAAUUUUUAUUGCAACAUUGCUAAAGUGGUAAUCUGAAUAGCCACCCCUCCCUAAGACAAUUCAGAUUGCCUCCAAUGAGGUAAUUUGGAUUGCUAAGACAAUCUGGAUCACCACCCAAAAAGCAUCCCAAACGUAGUUAUUCAGAUUACUACAUUAAAUUGUCAGCAAUCUGGAUAGAUUGCCAGCUACCAAAUGCAACCUUAAGGUUUUUGGGAGGUCAUGGGGAAAAGAGAAGGGAACGGUGUCAGCUUUGGAAGCGGCAGAGUGGUGGAUCGGCUGUAUGGAGACGGAAACUAAUCUCCAAGCAUUUAAUCGCUGAAGAAGAAUCCCACGGUUUCCAUGUAGUUUUCAGUCCGAAUCCUAGAGAAUAAGAUCCGCCCCGAUCUGCUGCUCGAGCGGCACCUCCUUUCCCCCGAUCCAUCCCAAUACCACCCAGCCUUGUGAUGGGAUCUGAAGGCCCCUUCUCUCCUACCAAAAUCAACCCUUUUCUUUUCUUUUCCUUUCCUCUUUCGCUUAUGUUUUUUUUUUUU
RNAcentral lists this long non-coding RNA (4623 nucleotides) under Elaeis guineensis (African oil palm). Its description in RNAcentral is "long non-coding RNA (EGUI_LNC002695)". The record is from RNAcentral. Lineage: Eukaryota; Viridiplantae; Streptophyta; Magnoliopsida; Arecales; Arecaceae.